RNAcentral lists this ribosomal RNA (253 nucleotides) under uncultured bacterium. RNAcentral describes it as "partial 16S ribosomal RNA". It matches the Rfam family "Bacterial small subunit ribosomal RNA", at positions 524 to 776 of the family's 1533-position model. The record is from RNAcentral.
UACGUAGGUGGCAAGCGUUGUCCGGAUUUAUUGGGUUUAAAGGGUGCGUAGGCGGUUUUGUAAGUCAGUGGUGAAAUACUCCAGCUCAACUGGAGAGGUGCCAUUGAUACUGCAGAACUUGAGUACAGACGAGGUAGGCGGAAUUGACGGUGUAGCGGUGAAAUGCUUAGAUAUCGUCAAGAACACCGAUAGCGAAGGCAGCUUACUAGACUGUAACUGACGCUGAUGCACGAAAGUGUGGGGAUCAAACAGG